Molecule: ribosomal RNA, 229 nt
Filed under: uncultured bacterium
Lineage: Bacteria
Description: partial 16S ribosomal RNA
Rfam family: Bacterial small subunit ribosomal RNA
Source: RNAcentral
UCCGUAGGCGGUUCUUUAAGUCAGUGGUGAAAUCCCAGAGCUCAACUCUGGAACUGCCAUUGAAACUGAAGAACUUGAAUAUGGUUGAGGUAGGCGGAAUACGUUAUGUAGCGGUGAAAUGCAUAGAUAUAACGUAGAACACCAAUUGCGAAGGCAGCUUACUAAACCAUUAUUGACGCUGAUGGACGAAAGCGUGGGGAGCGAACAGGAUUAGAUACCCUGGUAGUCC